GACGAACGCUGGCGGCGUGCUUAACACAUGCAAGUCGAACGGAAAGGCCCUGCUUGCAGGGUACUCGAGUGGCGAACGGGUGAGUAACACGUGGGUGAUCUGCCCUGCACUUCGGGAUAAGCCUGGGAAACUGGGUCUAAUACCGGAUAGGAGCCAUUUUUAGUGUGAUGGUUGGAAAGUUUUUUCGGUGUAGGAUGAGCUCGCGGCCUAUCAGCUUGUUGGUGGGGUAAUGGCCUACCAAGGCGGCGACGGGUAGCCGGCCUGAGAGGGUGGACGGCCACAUUGGGACUUAGAUACGGCCCAGACUCCUACGGGAGGCAGCAGUGGGGAAUAUUGCACAAUGGGCGCAAGCCUGAUGCAGCGACGCCGCGUGGGGGAUGACGGACUUCGGGUUGUAAACUCCUUUCGCUAGGGACGAAGCUUUUUGUGACGGUACCUAGAUAAGAAGCACCGGCUAACUACGUG
RNAcentral lists this ribosomal RNA (465 nucleotides) under uncultured bacterium. RNAcentral describes it as "partial 16S ribosomal RNA". It matches the Rfam family "Bacterial small subunit ribosomal RNA", at positions 28 to 507 of the family's 1533-position model. The record is from RNAcentral.